UGCAAGCCGGAUGGAUACACACGG
Molecule: non-coding RNA, 24 nt
Filed under: Mus musculus (house mouse)
Lineage: Eukaryota; Metazoa; Chordata; Mammalia; Rodentia; Muridae
Source: RNAcentral